Non-coding RNA from Pelobates cultripes (western spadefoot toad), 302 nucleotides. Lineage: Eukaryota; Metazoa; Chordata; Amphibia; Anura; Pelobatidae. The record is from the annotation of a GenBank genome assembly.
AUACAAUUUGAAUACAUCAUUUUAAAAGCUUAUCCAAAAAUGUGAAAUUAUUUGAAAGCUUAUCCAAAAAUAUUUAACAGAGGCCAUAGUUAGUAAAACAAUAGGGUUUACAUUGACAGACGAACUGGCCUAAUUUAUUGGUAGUAACUAAUUUGGCUAGAGAAUGGCCAAUGACCCUUGCCCAGUUCAUUUAAUUUUCAGUGAUGUCUUCAAAAUAUGAUGAAUCUGCAAUCUAUAAUAUAUUUUAAUUUUAAGGCCUAUGACCAUUACAACUUUGCUAAGUAGCAAUAUUUAUAAUAUAA